AGAGCGAACGCUGGCGGCAGGCUUAACACAUGCAAGUCGAGCGGGCGUAGCAAUACGUCAGCGGCAGACGGGUGAGUAACGCGUGGGAACAUACCUUUUGGUUCGGAACAACACAGGGAAACUUGUGCUAAUACCGGAUAAGCCCUUACGGGGAAAGAUUUAUCGCCGAAAGAUUGGCCCGCGUCUGAUUAGCUAGUUGGUGAGGUAACGGCCCACCAAGGCGACGACGGGUAGCC
This 236-nucleotide ribosomal RNA is filed under the name uncultured bacterium. RNAcentral's name for it is "partial small subunit ribosomal RNA". It matches the Rfam family "Bacterial small subunit ribosomal RNA", at positions 26 to 288 of the family's 1533-position model. The record is from RNAcentral.